RNA transcript from Corylus avellana, 3322 nucleotides. It is a transcript of the gene named Pentatricopeptide repeat (PPR) superfamily protein, with no coding region annotated. The record is from RefSeq and is a predicted model, not a curated record. Lineage: Eukaryota; Viridiplantae; Streptophyta; Magnoliopsida; Fagales; Betulaceae.
UUUUGCUCAGCCUCUGGCUCCAUUUUGUUUUCUCCAACCUUCUUUGAUCCAAUUCGUACGAUUAGCUCGCCCUGGGGCUCCUUCCCGAGCUGAUCUGAGUCGCAGCCAUGGACGGCGAGUUCGAGUUUGCUGACAAGGUCACUCCCGCCUUCGAUCGGACGAUGCUGAUUUGUUGGAAAUUAGGGUACUUUCUCUCAUAUCAUCUUGGAUUUAUUGAGUUCCGUUUUGUGGGUUAAAGAUGCAAAUGUGCCCUUCUCCUACACGAGGAUCUUCCAGUGAUGAUGUAUGUAAAUUUAGGUACUCUGUAGGUGGCAUGGUUAUGAUGAUGCAUGUAUGAAUGGCACUGGCAUUGAGCAAAGAAGUUCUGAUGCAUCCCCGCUUCAUCAAGAGCUAUUCAUUGGGAUUUGGAGUGGCUGCAGCUAUUCGUAGGACUGCCCUUAUAUCAUAUUAUGGCACGGUGAUUAUCACUAGAAAAGUUUUUUGGAGGCCUCAAGUGUUGGGUGUUUACUAUAAACGCUAUCAGAAAAACCCAUUUCUUCGAAAUUUUUCUACGGGCACUCACCCUGAAAGGAUAUGUUGGGAAGGCUCCUCUCAUGCAGUUCUGUUGAGGAAGAUUGAAACUGCCUUGAAGGAUCAUCAAUUGGAUGAAGCAUGGGAAUCUUUUAAUGAUUUUAAAAGAUUGUAUGGUUUUCCUAAGGAUACUCUUGUGGGUAGGUUAAUAACUGAACUUUCUUAUUCAUCUGACCCCCACUGGCUUAAAAAAGCAUGUGAUUUAGUCUUGAUAGUUUUGAAAGAGACAUCAGGCCUACUUCAGCCAGCUAUCCUCUCUAAGCUGUCCCUCUCGUUAGCAAGAUCUCAAUUGCCUAUCCCUGCCACAAUGAUUCUGAGAUUGAUGCUGGAGAGAGAGAGUUUGCCCCUGAUGAAUGUAUUGUGGUUGGUUGUUCUCCAUUUGGUGAAGACAGAAGUUGGGACGUAUAUUGCGUCAAAUUUCUUGGUUCAGAUUUGUGAUCGUUUCCAACGCUUAAGUGCGAACAAAAGUGAUCGUGUAAAACUGUUAAAACCUGAUACAAUGAUAUUUAACCUGGUGCUCGAUGCUUGUGUGAGGUUUAAAUUAUCUUUCAAAGGUCAACGGCUUAUUGAAUUGAUGCCACAGACAGGGGUUGCAGCUGAUGCACACUCAAUCACUAUAAUUGCCCAGAUCCAUGAGAUGAAUGGUCAGAGGGAUGAAGUGAAGAAAUUUAAAGACCACAUUGAUCAAGUUUCAGCUCCAUUUGUUUGUCAUUAUCGGCAGUUCUAUGAUAGUUUGUUGAGCUUGCACUUCAAGUAUAACGACAUCGAUGCUGCUGCUGAGCUUGUGAUGGAUAUUUAUAGAUACUCAGAGUCUUCUCCAAUUCAAAAUGAUAGGAAGGAACUACAAAAGCUUUGCCUUGUUCCAGUGGGAUCUGACAAUCUCAAGACAGCGUUAAAAAUGCAGAUUGUGCCUGAUAUGCUGCAGAAGGAUUCUGUACUCAAAGCGGAAGGUAAACGGGAACUUGUUAUUUUUAGGAAUGGGAAACUUGCUGUUAGUGACAGGGCUCUGGCCAAGCUCAUUAAUGGGUGCAAGAGAGGUGGGAAGAUUAGUGACCUUUCAAAACUUUUAGUUAGCAUUCAAAAGAAGUCGCAUUCAUUGGCAGGACCUAGUUUGUGUUCUAAUGUAAUUGGCGCUUGUAUUAAUUUAGGCUGGCUUGAAAUGGCUCACGACAUUUUGGAUGACUUGGAAGCAGCUGGGGCUCCCAUGGGCUUUACUACUUAUUCGUCACUCUUUGCAGCCUACUACAAGGAAAAUUUGUUUAGAGAAGCAAAGUCAUUGCUAAAACAAAUGAGAAAAGUUGGUUUGGUCUUAAAUUUGUCUGAUGAGAUGGUUAUUUCCACUUGUCUAUCGGAAGCAGUAGAUAAAGAUGCCACAAAAGCAAAUGCAUCUUCUUUUAUCAGUAAAUCAGAUCUGACAGAGUUUUUGGUUCGAGAAACAGGAGAGGCGGAGAACACGGUUUCUCCAAUAGUUUGCCAGUUCAAUUCUUCUAUUUACUUUUUCUGCAAGGCCAAAAUGGUGGUGGAUGCUUUGAAGACGUACAGAAAAAUGCAAGAGAUGAAAAUCCAGCCAACAGAGCUAACUUUUUCCAAUUUGGUAUACGGAUAUUCUUCUAUGGGAAUGUAUCGCGAUAUCACGAUAUUGUGGGGGGACAUUAAGAGGAAUAUGCAGAGUGGAGAUUUGGUGGUAAGCAGAGAUCUGUAUGAAUUCUUGCUUCUGAGCUUUCUUCAAGGUGGUUACUUUGAGAGAGUGAUGGAGGUGGUUGGGUAUAUGAAAAAACAUAGAAUGUACAUUGACAAGUGGAUGUACAAAAGUGAGUUUCUAAAGCUCCAUAAGAAUCUUUACAGAAGGUUAAAAACAUCAAAAGCUAGAAAUGAGGUUCAAGGCAAAAGGCUCGAGUAUGUCCAGGCCUUCAGAAUAUUGGUUGGAAUAGAUUGAAAAUUCAAUGAAAAGUUCUCAAAUACAUGGGAUGCUGUGAAGCACCAAAAACAAAACCCAAUCAUUGUUUAUUUGUUUGCAAAUAACAUGAGAAUUCAAUGUUUCUGGUGAGUCCCAAUUACCAAGAUAGAGAGAGGGAUAUAAGUAUAACGACGACAUUUCCGAGUUUUGUGUUUAAUUCUAUGGUUGACGAGAUUGGUACGUAGAAAGGAAAUAGCUUAGGAACAUUCUGCAGCUGGACCCAGUCGCAUGCCGGCCUAGGCGCCGCGACUAAAACGGCGUGGAGGCGGUGGGAAUACUCCUUACCCUUGUCAAUCAAUUGUGUGCCUGCGUCGUUGUCACUGAUUAAUAAUCCCUCUCCUCGCUCCCUUUUCACGUGCCCAAAUCUCAUACUCAAAAAAAAAGAAAAAAAAAAAAAAGCUUAGGAACAUUCUGCAGCUGGACCCAGUUGUAUGCUGGCCUACGCGCCGCGACUAAAACGGCAUGGAGGCGGUGGGAACACUCCUUACCCUUGUCAAUCAAUUGUGUGCCUGCGUCGUUGUCACUGAUUAAUCAUCCCUCUCCUCGCUCCCUUUUCACGUGCCCAAACCUCCAAAUCUCGUACUCAAAAGAAAAAGAAAAAGAAAAAAAAUACUAGUGAGCAGGGACUGGGGUAGGUGUUGCAGUCCCCAACUCUUCAUGCCUUCGAUUCACAGAUUCAAUCUUGGUCAUCCAUUUUUUUGUUUCUUCAUUUUUUAUUUUUAAUGACUAAUGUUAUUUAGUAGACGGAUAUAUGACUAUUAUACAAAUAAGAUAAUAGCAGUGAAGUUAUUUCCC